AGCAGCCGCGGUAAUUCCAGCUCCAAUAGCGUAUAUUAAAGUUGUUGCAGUUAAAAAGCUCGUAGUUGAAUUUCAGGCCUGGCUGGACGGUCCGCCCUUCGGGUGAGUACUGUCUGUGGUCGGGUCCUACCUUCUGGCGAAGCGUCAUGGCCUUAACCGGCCGUGGCGGGGAACCAGGACUUUUACUGUGAAAAAAUUAGAGUGUUCAAAGCAGGCAAUCGCUUGGAUACAUUAGCAUGGAAUAAUGGAAUAGGACAAUGGUUCUAUUUGUUGGUUUCUAGGACCGUUGUAAUGAUUAAUAGGGAUAGUUGGGGGCAUUAGUAUUCAAUUGUCAGAGGUGAAAUUCUUGGAUUUAUUGAAGACUACCUACUGCGAAAGCAUUUGCCAAGGAUGUUUUCAUUAAUCAAGAACGAAAGUUAGGGGAUCGAAGACGAUCAGAUACCGUCGUAGUCUUAACCAUAAACUAUGCCGACUAGGAAUUGGGCGAUGUUGACAAAAUGACCGCUCGGCACCUCAUA
RNAcentral lists this ribosomal RNA (518 nucleotides) under uncultured Paraglomus. RNAcentral's name for it is "SSU rRNA". It matches the Rfam family "Eukaryotic small subunit ribosomal RNA", at positions 569 to 1092 of the family's 1831-position model. Lineage: Eukaryota; Fungi; Glomeromycota; Glomeromycetes; Paraglomerales; Paraglomeraceae. The record is from RNAcentral.